UUGCUGAAUCAUAGAGCUCUAAUCUGGCUCACUUUCCUCUAUCAUAGAUCACAGGAGCAGGGACACAUCCCAUCAAAGCUCGCAGGGACACAUCCCAUCAGAGCUCGCAGGGACCCAUCCUGUCAGAGCUCACAGGGACCCAUCCCAUCAGAGCUCAUAGGAGCAGGAACACGUCCCAUCAGAGCUCACAGGAGCAGGAACACUUCCCGUCAGAGCUCACAGGAGCAGGAACACGUCCCAUCAGAGCUCACAGGAGCAGGAACACGUCCCGUCAGAGCUCACAGGAGCAGGAACACGUCCCAUCAGAGCUCACAGGAGCAGGAACACAUCCCGUCAGAGCUCACAGGAGCAGGAACACGUCCCAUCAGAGCUCAUAGGAGCAGGAACACAUCCCGUCAGAGCUCACAGGAGCAGGAACACGUCCCAUCAGAGCUCACAGGAGCAGGAACACUUCCCAUCAGAGCUCACAGGAGCAGGAACACGUCCCAUCAGAGCUCACAGGAGCAGGAACACGUCCCAUCAGAGCUCACAGGAGCAGGGACAUGUCCCGUCAGUCAUGAAGCAUCUCACAAGGGUGAGAUUCAGGUCCUGCUGAACAACUUGCAGCAGGAGAUGAAGUACAUGCAGGGGCAGCUCAAUACCAGGAUAUCAUCCCUGCGCAGAGGGUGGGCAUCCCUACCACCCUCCCAACAGUCAGCGUCCCUGCGACCAAUGCAAUGCUCCAACACCAUCUCCAAUCACCACCAUGGUGGGACCAACGUGGAAUGAUGGAGUGAAUACCACAUGUGGAGAUUUCUACUGCAAGAGAAAGGGUAAUUUAAGCUUUCUUUUAUGAGUAAGGAAAUUGCUACUCCCGAGUGGUGAAGCGGUCUAAGGCACUGCAUCUCAGUGCUAGAGGCGUCACUACAGACACCCUGGUUCGAAUCCAGGCUGUAUCACAACCGGCCGUGAUUGGGAGUCCCAUAGGGCGGCGCACAAUAGUGUCGUCCGGGUUUGGCCGGUGUAGGCCGUCAUCGUAAAUGAGAAUUUGUUCUUAACUGACUUGCCUAGUUAAAUAAAGGUUAAAUAAAAAUACAUAAAAAAUGUAAUUAGUGGUUGUUCUGUAUGGUGACAUGAGUAGAGUGGACUG
RNAcentral lists this long non-coding RNA (1129 nucleotides) under Oncorhynchus mykiss (rainbow trout). Its description in RNAcentral is "lncRNA (ENSOMYG00000075807.1)". The record is from RNAcentral. Lineage: Eukaryota; Metazoa; Chordata; Actinopteri; Salmoniformes; Salmonidae.